This 6746-nucleotide long non-coding RNA is filed under the name Equus caballus (horse). Its description in RNAcentral is "lncRNA (ENSECAG00000058674.1)". Lineage: Eukaryota; Metazoa; Chordata; Mammalia; Perissodactyla; Equidae. The record is from RNAcentral.
CCUGCCACAUCAGAGGCCUUGGGAGGAUGACCUAAGGCUGCUUUCUCCCAUCCUGACUUCCUCUACCCAGCGCUGUAACUACACGUACAAUUUGCUGGUUCUUCUAAAGGAUGACUGACUGGUGCUGUGAUGUGGUCUUCAGGCAGCCAGGGGGGAUCUCCAUAUGAGCUGCUGCUGCUGCUGCUGAAUUAUGCAGCCUGCUCUUCUGCAUAUCUCUCCUGCAGUGGCUGGCCUUAUUUCUGCACAGUGCAUGGAUCAGAAUCUGGGGGGAUGCAGACAGCACGCACUGAAAGACCUAAAUGAAUGUAAGCAAGCCCCAGGCCCAGUUACCACUUGAUUUGGAAAUCGUUUUGGACUGUCCGACACAAUUAUGACUGAAAUCAAGUUUAAGGCCUGACACCUAGUGGCAGUUUAUAGGCAGCGUUCUUCAAGGCAAACCGAAAGAAACUUCAGGAUGUAGUAACUGUGGAGAAACGCUUACAACCGGACUUGCCGUUAGCCCGAAGACAAAAGAACUGUCGUCUGGACAGAAGUGCUCACCGCUGCACAGAACUCUGCCAAGGCCACUCUGAGGCAUCACAUCUGAGUCCUGGGAGCUAAACACACCCACAGUUGUGGUUCUCCCUUGCAAUUCGGAUCUACUGGCUUGCCCUGGAUCCAUCUUACAACCCUGUUCUAUUGAAUCAAGAUCUGGAUGACACAUUGUCUUGGCAGUUGCAAAGCUCCCAGACGUCCUUCUAGUUCCCGGUUGGACAGUGAACACCUGCGCCCUCCAGCUGAAGAGCAACGUGGAAAGUCUGGAUUAGAGGAAGGAGCGCUGUUUGUUCCCUGCACAUAUUUUCAGGGUCUAAGCACAGUCAGCGCCAUCUGAAGUUUGGUUCAGCAGAAUUGAGGGUGAGUACAUCCCUAAGGUGACUCAUGUGUCUGGGAACCUUAUACUAUUUUAAGGUAAAUAUAUGGUAUUAUAAGAAGAUACUCUUAAGGGCAGUCAGUUUUCUUCCCCACAUUCGUAUGGCACUGAUCAUUCAUAAAGGUUUCAUAUUAAUGAUCUAUGUUUUGAAUAAAGGGCAGGCAUUACUAUGUCAAACUCAUGGGUGAGGAAGUGGAGGCUUACAAAUUUUUGAGAUGUAUACUUAGCAAAGAGAUCUGAGAUUCCACCCGGGGCCUCCUGGCCUUAAUUUGGAUGCAUAGGUUCUCAAAUGUAUUUCAAAAAUCCAGUUUGUUCCUUCAUGCUUAUGUUGGUAGACAGAAUGAUUUAUUUUUAAGCAUACAACUAUUUAACCAUAUUUAUCACUAUGAUUUAAUAUCCCCUUGGUUCUGUUCCUGGCCAUAUUUCAGUUCUGUUAAUAGUUACCCACCUAUCCCUUAGAUGGAUUUUAAGCCAUAACUAGUCUGAAUUCUGCAGUUUGUCUCAUGAGGAAAGGAGUUCUUUUGUUUUUUAUGAUCUCUAUAUGAAUUAGUGCUUCUGUUUGACGUCACUUUUCAGAAGAACAGCUCGUCCAUGAAAGGUCAUUUCACAUCAUUGUUACAAAAGAAUAACCUUCAUUUCAUAUGAACCAGUUGUAUAAAGGGUUGUAGUUAUGAUAAAAACCCAUUGCCAAGAACAUCAGAGAGAAUGCCUCUUGCUCAUACAUGAUGUCAUUCCUGUGUUCCUAGUGCCUCACAGAGUGCGUGGCACUGGGUGAACGUCUGUGUAAUUGAAUCCUUCAAAAUGUCACAACGUAGGUCUUGUGGAAGUAAAAUUUGAAUCAAGACACCAUUUCCCAAAGUUCCUAAAUUUUACAGAAAUCUUGGCCUCCACAAAGAAGAAAAGUCCUAAACUGGAAAAGUGUUAAAACUACAGAACUCCAAAACAUACUUAAUCCUGGUGUGAUGCACGAAACAGGACUAAGAAAAGGUAAGAGAAAGCUCACCAAACCCAUAAAUAUGCAGUGCACUCAGUUAGACUUCUCAAUGGACAUGACAACCAAGGCCUCUUUUUUCCUAUUUGUACAUCUUUGCUUCUAAAUGUUGACAGAUUGCCUUUAGAUUAAAUAUGUUUUUGUUGCUAUAUGUUAAAAAACAGCCACAACAAAAAAGCUGUAAUGCUGACAGUGGAAAAUGCAUGCCUCCUUGGUCUUAACAGCUCAAGCAAUACCUUUCUUUCAAUUUUAUGUAGGAUAGAGCGUCACCCUUCUUCUAUAUCAUUAAGCACUAAUUGCCCAAUUACAGUGCUUUGGGACACUGUUAAUAUUGUGCCCAAGGCUUUUCAGCACAGUCAGCUUUAAAGCAAAUGAUCCCAGUCGUCAAAAUUAUUUACUAAGCACACUACAGAGUUUCUUCUAGAAAGAUUAUUUAAGGCCUAUUACACUUGCUAGAGCCUUAUACUACAAAAUACUUGGGUACUUAGUGAGGCCAUUGCUUGUUCUCCUGAGGCCUUUUUUUUCCCAGCACCAAAAUGUAAAAGGAAUAUUCUGUGUUUGGGUAGAGCAGACUCAUGCAGACAUUCUUAAUCUGAAAGCACUUUCCUUUAUUUUAGGUCAUUUGGAGAGGGGUAAUGAGUUGUUCUCUAUCAGGGCAUUAUUUAUAAAUACAGAGUUAAAAAGUUUAUUUUAAAAAUACUUUCUUUGUGUUUAAAUAGAUAUAGCAAUGUAAGCUACAAGGGAUUUGAAUGUAUCCUAAAUCAUGCAUUAUUUGAACAGAUUCUUUUUUAAAUCUCUGUGUGGAAGAUUUUAUCAAACAUUUUACAUUAUUGACAACAAACAAUAACCAUUGAGGACUGUGAAGCGUUUUCUCCUAUUUCUCAUUAGUCUUCUCAACAGCUCUCAGCUAGUUGUUUCUGACUCCAUUUUACAGAGGAGGAAAUUGAAGCUUUGGAUGGGUAAAUGACCCUUGUAAAGUCAUACUACUUGUAAGGGACAGGAAAGUGAGUGUUAUGUAUAGGUUCAUCUUUUGAGUUCCUGGACUCAAUUGUAAUAUGUGUGUGUGCGGGCAGGAGGCACUUCGCCCCACACUAUCAAGCAAUUCUUGGACACCAGCAGGGUGUUCAAGAAUCCAGCCCAACUCUGACACUAUCUACCUGGAGCUAGCAUCAGAUUCCAUAUGUUAAGGGUUCAGUCCUACAAGACUGGCCCCCAUCUCCCCACUUCAAAUAGCAAUCACAAGCCCAGGUUGUUACCUGUACUUCUGAUCAACUGGCUAUAAGUCAGAAGUUGCCAUGACCUCUUCCUUGGGUUCACUUAAUUUACUAGAGCAGCUCACAGAACUCAGAGAAACAUUUUACUUACUAGAGUACUGAUUUAUUAGAAAAAGAUGUAACUCAGGAGCAGCCAGAUGGAAUAGAUGGAAAGAGCGAGGUAUGUGGGAAGGGGCUUGGAGCUUCCAAGCCCUCUCAGAGUGGGCCAUACUCGUCACAUCUCCAUGUGUUCACCAACCUGGAAGCUCUCUGAAUCCUUUUUGGGUUUUUGGGUUUUUAUGGAAGCUUCCUUACACAGGCAUGGUUGGUUAAAUCAUUGGCAAUUGGUAAUUGCUACAACAUGUAGCCCCUCUCCCCUCCCCAGAGAUUGGCGGGGGCAGUGGGACUGGAAGUUCCAACCCUCCAAUCACACGGUUGAUUCUCCUGGCAGUCAGCCCCCUUCCUUUGGGGUGGGGAGUAGGUCCAAAAGUCACCUCAUUAACAUAACAAAAGACACUUUUAUUGCUCUCAUGGGUUAGGAAAUUAUGAGGGUUUUAGGAGCUCUGUGCCAGAGACAGGGAUGAAGACCAAAUGUAUAUUUCUUAUUAUAAAUCACAAUAUCACAGUUAAAAAAUGGAAACAGUGAUACAAUUUACAAAAUUUACAGAAGAUAGGGACAAAAAAGGAGAUUUCAAAUAGUAAAAUAGAGAUCUCUAAGAUAUGCUGAUAAAAAGUUGAAUACAGAUACAUUUAAAAUUUGGGACAUAUUUUUAAUGAAAUGUUUUAAAAACUCCAUGUGAAUUCUUUUUCAAAUCACUCUCUAUCCUUUAUAGUAAUUUGUGUUUUCAUUUAUCAAGUUUGUUUAAGGUGGGGCCCACCUGCCUCAUUUGGAACUAUAUCCACGUAACACUUGAAAAGUGGGCCACCCUGUACUGUAUAUAAUCCACAUGGUUCACCACUCUUGGCCUUUAUAGCUCAUAGAGAUUGUGGUGUAUGUUAUUGUAUUCACAAUAUAUAAUGAUAUUUACAUUGAAUAUCACCUUUAUAGGUGACCUGUAAAGUCCUUUUCUGCCUUCUUCUGAUCUAUUUGAAUUUAUAGUCAAGCGGUACAUAUAAUUAUGUACUUCAAAUGUAACACAGAAAUAUUAUUGACUUUUAUCAUCAACAGUUUCUCUUUUGGUGUAUUUUUUUGAGCUUGUAUUAUCUUUUUAGUUUAGACUGUGAGAAAAUCCAAAAGGAGGUGAAUUUACUCAGAAAAAUCACCUUAGAAGUUAGUCUAUGUAUAUUUGAUUCAGAAGACCAAACCAAAUCAAACCAAACAAAUAAACAAACAAUAAAAAAAUUCUCAAGGAAAAACUUACUUUGGUGUGCUUUCAGACUUGCUGUGCACACAGUAGGCAUACAAGAAACAUUUGUUAAACUGAAUUGAAGAGACCAUUCUUUGUUUCCAGGACAUUUCCUUGUAGUAAUCCUGACACUGAUGUAUGAUUGGACACUGCUGCCUGUUGGAUUCUCUGGGAAGCAGAUGCAGAUGGCAGUUAGUGGGUAGGAAGUUUACUAAGGAGUGUUCUCAGGGAAAGAACUAGAAAUGGGCAGAGGGAGGAGUUGGUCUGCAGUGCAGUCUCAACCAAAGAGGGUUCAGUCAACUCCUUAAGGAGUUUUGAAGCUGUGUUGGCCCGUCUGAUUUGUGUCUGGUUCUGGUGAGAGGGGCCAGGACUUGGCAAUCUGGCCUAGAUCAGUCAUUGAAUGUGAGCUGCCCCCUCCCUCCCUAGGAAGAUAGCCUGACCUUGGGCAGGGCAGCUAUCUCUAACUGAGGGCAAAUUCUGGAAAUGGUUGACUACAGAGACAGCAGAACUUCCAGUGGCUGGUGUAAUAGGAGUAAGUCCUAGUAUCCUGAAGAGGGACCUGAGAGGUGCAGCACUGUAUUCAAUACAGACACUGUGGCCCCUAAAUAAAACAAAAAUGAAGAUUUUGACUCUGCCCUUCCUUCUCUACACCCCAUCUUUCAAUCUCUAAUUCUGCUAAAGGACAGGCAUUUGUUUGUUUAUUUGUUUCUUUACUUUCAGCUCACAGAUAGACUUGUGAGGGCUGACUUGCCUAAUUAUUUUGACAGUUUCCUAUUCAUUAUCUCACUUAGCAGGGAACCUCUUUGGACCAUCAAGGCUGCAAAUUUACGAUUGCACAUUAAUUGGUGGAAUAUAAUUGCUAGCUGCCGCUUCUGGGCUUGGGGUGCACUGUAUGUGCCAGAAUAUAUACAGUUAGCCCCAAGGUUUGCUCAGGAGCACUUGCCCAUCGAACAAGAAAAUGAGCAUUACAGUAAUUGAGAACAUGGACACCUUGGGUCAUUUUCUUGCUGGCAAUGUUUAGAAAGUCUCAUCAUUGAAUUGUCCUGAUUUGUUUCUUAUUACCUCUCAAAAGCAUUGCUAGGCAAGAAGCUAUUUGGCACACAGAAUUUUAGCUUGUUUGGGGGUGAGAAAGGUGAAUGAGAAGAGGAGGAAAUGUUAACUUCUAAUGCUGGAACAGAUUUAGUGCUUGAACUUUUCUCUUUUUUAUAUUUUUUCACUAGAUUGGGUGGGGCUGUGGAACAUGACCUGGGAGUUCUGAAAAUUUUCUAAAAACCUGUUCAAUGGAGAGAACUCGCUGAAGACUGUUGGAUUCAGUGGCAUGUAAGAUACCCGGGAAGUAGAGAAGACUGGUGGAAGUGAAUCAUUUGGAAUCCUAAAGAGCAGCCAGAUGUCCCUUCUUCAUACAGGGUCCGGAUAAUCUCUGCAGCUUUAAGAACUUUUCAAGAGAAAUAAUUUGUGAAGCUCAGUGGUGUUCAAAACAGGAUGCUACAUUUUUGUGGUCGUAUUUUGUAUUUCCUAGAAAGCAGGAAAAACUAAGACUGAAAUCUAUAAUAUCACGAUCUGUAUCAUACAUUCUCUUUUUCUGGAUCUUUUCCCAUUCUGGCAGGAAAGUGAAAUGACACUGAGACAUUCUCAGAAUGUAUGGAAUAGUAAUUUCUUACUAAUUUAAUGGUUGUUCAGUUAGAUCAUGGGGUAGCAAGCUUUUCUUUUGCAUCUUGAAUGUUACUUUACCUGUUGACAUGGCACCAUUCUUAAAGUCACAGACUCACGUAGGAUUUAUUCAUUUAGUAGUGUAAGGUGGGGUCGAUCAUCAGUCCUUUUCAAAUCUCACUCUCUCUUUCUUCCAUCUGCUUAUUUUCUUAUUCUGAGGUUCCCUUUUUCUUAUUAAUACUACCACUCAUCCUGGUCAACUGUAUUCGAAGUCUGUGGAGCAUUUUGACUAUCCCUACCCUAGAUGAUUUCUCCAUCAAGCAGCGUCUCUUUCCACAGUCGCACAUCUGUCUCCCUCCUUUCUGUUUUGUUUCCUCUAGCCUGAACCAGAGUGUUGUUAGUCUUUCGUCUUUCCUGUCACCAGUACAAGCUACACGCUGUCCUUUAAUAAAUCAUUCUGAAGAUCGAGACUAAUUGUAUCACUCUAUAGCUCAAAAACUUUCAAUAGUGUGAGGUGCUUAAAAGGAAGAAGAAAUAGAAGGAGAGGAGGAGGUGGAGGAAAAAGAGGAAAAAGAAGCAGGAAGUUGCCAGUGAAA